AUUGAACGCUGGCGGCAGGCCUAACACAUGCAAGUCGAACGGUAACAGGAAGAAGCUUGCUUCUUUGCUGACGAGUGGCGGACGGGUGAGUAAUGUCUGGGAAACUGCCUGAUGGAGGGGGAUAACUACUGGAAACGGUAGCUAAUACCGCAUAACGUCGCAAGACCAAAGAGGGGGACCUUCGGGCCUCUUGCCAUCGGAUGUGCCCAGAUGGGAUUAGCUAGUAGGUGGGGUAACGGCUCACCUAGGCGACGAUCCCUAGCUGGUCUGAGAGGAUGACCAGCCACACUGGAACUGAGACACGGUCCAGACUCCUACGGGAGGCAGCAGUGGGGAAUAUUGCACAAUGGGCGCAAGCCUGAUGCAGCCAUGCCGCGUGUAUGAAGAAGGCCUUCGGGUUGUAAAGUACUUUCGGCGGGGAGGAAGGGAGUAAAGUUAAUACCUUUACUCAUUGACGUUACCCGCAGAAGAAGCACCGGCUAACUCCGUG
Molecule: ribosomal RNA, 490 nt
Filed under: uncultured bacterium
Lineage: Bacteria
Description: partial 16S ribosomal RNA
Rfam family: Bacterial small subunit ribosomal RNA
Source: RNAcentral